AUGAGGAGGAAUGGCGCAGUUCUCGAGUGGAACUGUCAACGAGCUCAGGCAAGGGGACGGGCUACUUAUCCAAUCCUAAGCCUUGUAUAUCAACGAACAAAUGCAUACAGUGGACAGCGCCGAUCGACGAGCGAAGUUGCUAAAUUAAAUUCAGAUGCUGCUUUCGACGCCGACAGCGGUCAAAGCUGGGCUGGCGUGAUUGCUAGAGAUCACAGAGGGCAUUUAUUCUUGUCAGUCAGCAAGGAGUUGCCGCGAUCUACAAGUGUGGAAGAGGCUGAGGGACGUGCUACACUCCCCGGACUGCAUGCACUUGCGGCAGUGUACAUGGGAAAAAAUCAAUUGGAGGUGGACAACAAGUGGAUACCAGAUGCACUGAAGAAAAAUGCCCCGAACAAGUCUCUGAAUGAUGCCCUUGCUACGUUCUCUGCUUUCAAGGUGACUCACUCCGCGAGGGGAGGUAACAAGAUGGCACAUGAAUUAGUAGUUGAAGCCAGAGUGCGUGGAGACCAUACCUUCAUAGCAUUGAAUAGAUGA
RNAcentral lists this ribosomal RNA (534 nucleotides) under Triticum aestivum (bread wheat). RNAcentral describes it as "partial small subunit ribosomal RNA". The record is from RNAcentral. Lineage: Eukaryota; Viridiplantae; Streptophyta; Magnoliopsida; Poales; Poaceae.